Molecule: long non-coding RNA, 598 nt
Filed under: Brassica rapa (field mustard)
Lineage: Eukaryota; Viridiplantae; Streptophyta; Magnoliopsida; Brassicales; Brassicaceae
Description: long non-coding RNA (BRAP_LNC000529)
Source: RNAcentral
AACGACUAGUAUUUCACCAGCUAUAAAGUCAUGAAUGAUCUAUUCUCUUUAUCAUAGGACUUCAAGGCCAGAUCCUUAUAGAUCAAUACGUUUUCUCUAGAGAAAUAGCAACAUUUGAAUAACUUAUUUACUUUAUCCUCCAUCAAUUUGUCUAAGCAUUUGGAAUUUAUUAAAUUUUCAAUAUAUGAAAAUGGAAAUUUAGUAUGUUGUGCAUAUGUGUGUCAUUGUUAAAGAAGUCAACGUGUGUAUGAGAAAAAAAAAUUUCUUACGAAGAAGGACCAAAACUUUAGAGCUAAAUAGUAAAAUACUUCUAAUAAAAAAAAAAAAAACUUGAUGGAAGCACUGUAACUUACCGGUUAAGGUUUAAAGGCUUCUACAUCCAGGUCUGGAGUUCGAAUCCCAGACUAUGCAAUUUAUUGCAGAUUACAGAAAAUCCAGGUUUCAAGUUUCAGAGAAAGCGGUUUAUUAAACAAUUAUGCAGACUACAGAAGAAAUGCUUACAAGGGAUCUUUAACAUGGUGCAAGUAAAUCUGGCCAGACGUGGAUCUUCAUAGUACGGCUCAGGUGAUGCAGUUACGCGUAGGUUUUCAUAAGGCAG